UACAGAGGGGGCAAGCGUUAUUCGGAAUUAUUGGGCAUAAAGGGCGCGUAGGCGGCCUGACAAGUGGAAGGUGAAAUCCCUCGGCUUAACCGAGGAACUGCCCUCCAAACUGUCUGGCUUGAGACCGGGAAAGGUGAGUGGAAUUCCCAGUGUAGCGGUGAAAUGCGUAGAUAUUGGGAGGAACACCAGUGGCGAAGGCGGCUCACUGGACCGGUACUGACGCUGAUGCGCGAAAGCGUGGGGAGCAAACGGG
This 253-nucleotide ribosomal RNA is filed under the name uncultured bacterium. RNAcentral describes it as "partial 16S ribosomal RNA". It matches the Rfam family "Bacterial small subunit ribosomal RNA", at positions 524 to 776 of the family's 1533-position model. The record is from RNAcentral.